UACGUAAGGCGCAAGCGUUGUCCGGAAUUAUUGGGCGUAAAGAGCUCGUAGGCGGUCUGUCGCGUCUGUUGUGAAAACUCGAGGCUCAACCUCGGGCUUGCAGUGGAUACGGGCAGACUAGAGUGCGGUAGGGGAGACUGGAAUUCCUGGUGUAGCGGUGGAAUGCGCAGAUAUCAGGAGGAACACCGAUGGCGAAGGCAGGUCUCUGGGCCGCAACUGACGCUGAGGAGCGAAAGCAUGGGGAGCGAACAGG
RNAcentral lists this ribosomal RNA (253 nucleotides) under uncultured bacterium. RNAcentral describes it as "partial 16S ribosomal RNA". It matches the Rfam family "Bacterial small subunit ribosomal RNA", at positions 524 to 776 of the family's 1533-position model. The record is from RNAcentral.